Molecule: non-coding RNA, 306 nt
Organism: Pelobates cultripes (western spadefoot toad)
Lineage: Eukaryota; Metazoa; Chordata; Amphibia; Anura; Pelobatidae
Source: the annotation of a GenBank genome assembly
CAACAAGUUCCAUAGCGCUGUACAGUGGGUGGACUAACUGACAAGUAAUUUGUAACCAGACGAGUUGGACACAUAGGAACAGAGGAAUUGAGGGCCCUGCUCAAUGAGCUUACAUUCUAGAGGAAGUGGGGGUAAUGUGACACAAAAGGUAAGAGUAGGGUAGAAAAGUAGGUUGCUAGGAUAGUGUUCAUUGAGGGCUUAGUGUUUUGUUUUGAUGACAGUUGCAGGAGCGGAGUCAGGGUGCGGGGAGGGAAAGUUGUUCACAGUUUAAUUGAUAUGCUUUCAUAAAAAAGUACGUUUUAAAAG